This 293-nucleotide ribosomal RNA is filed under the name Escherichia coli. RNAcentral describes it as "partial 16S ribosomal RNA". It matches the Rfam family "Bacterial small subunit ribosomal RNA", at positions 1 to 288 of the family's 1533-position model. The record is from RNAcentral. Lineage: Bacteria; Pseudomonadati; Pseudomonadota; Gammaproteobacteria; Enterobacterales; Enterobacteriaceae.
UUAAAUUGAAGAGUUUGAUCAUGGCUCAGAUUGAACGCUGGCGGCAGGCCUAACACAUGCAAGUCGAACGGUAACAGGAAUCAGCUUGCUGAUUCGCUGACGAGUGGCGGACGGGUGAGUAAUGUCUGGGAAACUGCCUGAUGGAGGGGGAUAACUACUGGAAACGGUAGCUAAUACCGCAUAACGUCGCAAGACCAAAGAGGGGGACCUUCGGGCCUCUUGCCAUCGGAUGUGCCCAGAUGGGAUUAGCUAGUAGGUGGGGUAACGGCUCACCUAGGCGACGAUCCCUAGCU